RNAcentral lists this long non-coding RNA (269 nucleotides) under Elaeis guineensis (African oil palm). RNAcentral describes it as "long non-coding RNA (EGUI_LNC018657)". The record is from RNAcentral. Lineage: Eukaryota; Viridiplantae; Streptophyta; Magnoliopsida; Arecales; Arecaceae.
GCUGCCCGUGUGUGUAGCCUUUGGGAUUCAAGAAGAGGUCUCUAUGUUCCUAAGGGAAUCGACUUGCGGAAAAGUUGGAGGACAGGAUGCCGGAGAGGGGAAGAUAGUGAAGGUUAUGCUUUAUUAGUUUGAUAAUCAGUUGUAUCGUUGGGGAUGUUUUUUUUUUUUUCAUCUCCCAAGAAUUAUUUCCCCAUUUAGUCUUCUCAAGAUAUCCAACAUGCAAGCUAUGAUAGGUUUGACAUACAAACAAGAAAUUCAAAAGGUGAUUA